AGCCCAUGAAAAGGGCAUAGUCUUACCAAAUCCUUAUAAUGCUCCCACACAUCAAACAAUGAUUUCCCCUCUUCUUAUCUAAAUUUAUUAAUAUCAUUCCUAAUUUAGGUU
Molecule: small nucleolar RNA, 111 nt
Organism: Lathyrus oleraceus (garden pea)
Lineage: Eukaryota; Viridiplantae; Streptophyta; Magnoliopsida; Fabales; Fabaceae
Source: RefSeq, a predicted model, not a curated record